This 336-nucleotide unclassified non-coding RNA is filed under the name soil metagenome. RNAcentral describes it as "partial contains 5.8S ribosomal RNA, internal transcribed spacer 2, and large subunit ribosomal RNA". The stretch from base 1 to 120 matches the Rfam family "5.8S ribosomal RNA", at positions 35 to 154 of the family's 154-position model. The record is from RNAcentral.
GAUGAAGAACGCAGUGAAAUGCGAUAAGUAAUGUGAAUUGCAGAAUUCAGUGAAUCAUCGAAUCUUUGAACGCACAUUGCGCCCGCCAGUAUUCUGGCGGGCAUGCCUGUUCGAGCGUCAUUUCAACCAUCAAGCCCCAGGCUUGUGUUGGGGACCUGCGGCUGCCGCAGGCCCUGAAAACCAGUGGCGGGCUCGCUGUCACACCGGGCGUAGUAGAUUUUAUCUCGCCCAGGGCGUGCUGCGGGUUCCGGCCGUUAAAAAGCCUUUUUUACCCAAGGUUGACCUCGGAUCAGGUAGGAAGACCCGCUGAACUUAAGCAUAUCAAUAAGCGGAGGA